Molecule: ribosomal RNA, 587 nt
Filed under: Cystobasidium slooffiae
Lineage: Eukaryota; Fungi; Basidiomycota; Cystobasidiomycetes; Cystobasidiales; Cystobasidiaceae
Description: eukaryotic LSU rRNA
Rfam family: 5.8S ribosomal RNA (bases 169-322)
Source: RNAcentral
UCCGUAGGUGAACCUGCGGAAGGAUCAUUAAUGAAUUUUAGGACGUUCUUUUUAGAAGUCCGACCCUUUCAUUUUCUUACACUGUGCACACACUUCUUUUUUACACACACUUUUAACACCUUAGUAUAAGAAUGUAAUAGUCUCUUAAUUGAGCAUAAAUAAAAACAAAACUUUCAGCAACGGAUCUCUUGGCUCUCGCAUCGAUGAAGAACGCAGCGAAUUGCGAUAAGUAAUGUGAAUUGCAGAAUUCAGUGAAUCAUCGAAUCUUUGAACGCACCUUGCACUCUUUGGUAUUCCGAAGAGUAUGUCUGUUUGAGUGUCAUGAAACUCUCAACCCCCCUAUUUUGUAAUGAGAUGGGUGUGGGCUUGGAUUAUGGUUGUCUGUCGGCGUAAUUGCCGGCUCAACUGAAAUACACGAGCAACCCUAUUGAAAUAAACGGUUUGACUUGGCGUAAUAAUUAUUUCGCUAAGGACGCUUUCUUCAAAUAUAAGAGGUGCUUCUAAUUCGCUUCUAAUAGCAUUUAAGCUUUAGACCUCAAAUCAGUCAGGACUACCCGCUGAACUUAAGCAUAUCAAUAAGCGGAGGA